CAGUCGCCGCGGUAAUACGAAAGGUCCAAGCGUUACUCGGAAUUACUGGGCGUAAAGCGCGCGUAGGCGGUUUUGUAUGUCGAUUGUGAAAGCCCCGGGCUCAACCUGGGAACUGCAGUCGAAACUGCAAGACUUGAAUGUUGGAGAGGUUGGGGGAAUACCUAGUGGAGAAGUGAAAUUCGUAGAGAUUAGGUGGAACACCAGAGGCGAAGGCGCCUGACUGGCCAAACAUUGACGCUAAGGCGCGAAAGCGUGGGUAGCAAACAGGAUUAGAGACCCCAGUAGUCCCUGUCUCUUAUAC
RNAcentral lists this ribosomal RNA (301 nucleotides) under uncultured bacterium. RNAcentral's name for it is "partial 16S ribosomal RNA". It matches the Rfam family "Bacterial small subunit ribosomal RNA", at positions 509 to 807 of the family's 1533-position model. The record is from RNAcentral.